CAGCCGCCGCGGGAAUACGGAGGAUCCAAGCGUUAUCCGGAAUCAUUGGGUUUAAAGGGUCCGUAGGCGGUCUUGUAAGUCAGUGGUGAAAGCCCAUCGCUCAACGGUGGAACGGCCAUUGAUACUGCAGGACUUGAAUUAUUGGGAAGUAACUAGAAUAUGUAGUGUAGCGGUGAAAUGCUUAGAGAUUACAUGGAAUACCAAUUGCGAAGGCAGGUUACUACCAAUUGAUUGACGCUGAUGGACGAAAGCGUGGGUAGCGAACAGGAUUAGAGACCCCCGUAGUCCCUGUCUCUUAUAU
Molecule: ribosomal RNA, 301 nt
Filed under: uncultured bacterium
Lineage: Bacteria
Description: partial 16S ribosomal RNA
Rfam family: Bacterial small subunit ribosomal RNA
Source: RNAcentral